Molecule: non-coding RNA, 94 nt
Organism: Pelobates cultripes (western spadefoot toad)
Lineage: Eukaryota; Metazoa; Chordata; Amphibia; Anura; Pelobatidae
Source: the annotation of a GenBank genome assembly
UGUGAGAUAACAUUAAGUGGUCUUGCUAUGCAAGAACACUUAAUUAAGUGUUCUUGCAUAGCAAGACCACUUAAUGUUAUCUCACAUAUAUAUU